CGCACGUCGCGCGGUGUCCGGUGCCCCCGGCGGCCCUUGAAAAUCCGGAGGACCGAGUACCGGCCCUUCCCGGUCGUACUCAUAACCGCAUCAGGUCUCCAAGGUGAACGACCUCUGGCCAAUGGAACAAUGUAGGCAAGGGAAGUCGGCAAAACGGAUCC
This 161-nucleotide ribosomal RNA is filed under the name Oryza sativa (Asian cultivated rice). Its description in RNAcentral is "partial 25S ribosomal RNA". It matches the Rfam family "Eukaryotic large subunit ribosomal RNA", at positions 1767 to 1929 of the family's 3401-position model. Lineage: Eukaryota; Viridiplantae; Streptophyta; Magnoliopsida; Poales; Poaceae. The record is from RNAcentral.